GACGAACGCUGGCGGCGUGCUUAACACAUGCAAGUCGAACGGAAAGGCCCUGCUUGCAGGGUACUCGCGUGGCGAACGGGUGAGUAACACGUGGGUGAUCUGCCCUGCACUUCGGGAUAAGCCUGGGAAACUGGGCCUAAUACCGGACAGGUGCUAUUUUUAGUGUGAUGGUUGGAAAGUUUUUUCGGUGUAGGAUGUGCUUGCUGCAUAUCUGCUCGCUGGUGGGGUGAUGUCCUACCGAGGCGGCUGCGGGUAGCCGGCCUGAGGGGGUGGCCGGCCACACAGGGACUGAGGGGCGGCCGAAGCAGCGACGGGUGGGAGAUGGGGGGAAUAUUGCAGGAGGGGCGCAGGCCGGGUGAAGCGGGGCCGCGUGGGGGAUGACGGCCUUCGGGGUGUAAACUCCUUGCGCAAGGAACGAAGCAUUUUGUGACGGUACCUAGAUAAGAAGCACCGGCUAACUACGUG
This 465-nucleotide ribosomal RNA is filed under the name uncultured bacterium. Its description in RNAcentral is "partial 16S ribosomal RNA". It matches the Rfam family "Bacterial small subunit ribosomal RNA", at positions 28 to 507 of the family's 1533-position model. The record is from RNAcentral.